GUUAAGCGACUAAGCGUACACGGUGGAUGCCCUGGCAGUCAGAGGCGAUGAAGGACGUGCUAAUCUGCGAUAAGCGUCGGUAAGGUGAUAUGAACCGUUAUAACCGGCGAUUUCCGAAUGGGGAAACCCAGUGUGUUUCGACACACUAUCAUUAACUGAAUCCAUAGGUUAAUGAGGCGAACCGGGGGAACUGAAACAUCUAAGUACCCCGAGGAAAAGAAAUCAACCGAGAUUCCCCCAGUAGCGGCGAGCGAACGGGGAGGAGCCCAGAGCCUGAAUCAGUGUGUGUGUUAGUGGAAGCGUCUGGAAAGGCGCGCGAUACAGGGUGACAGCCCCGUACACAAAAAUGCACAUGCUGUGAGCUCGAUGAGUAGGGCGGGACACGUGGUAUCCUGUCUGAAUAUGGGGGGACCAUCCUCCAAGGCUAAAUACUCCUGACUGACCGAUAGUGAACCAGUACCGUGAGGGAAAGGCGAAAAGAACCCCGGCGAGGGGAGUGAAAAAGAACCUGAAACCGUGUACGUACAAGCAGUGGGAGCCUCUUUUAUGGGGUGACUGCGUACCUUUUGUAUAAUGGGUCAGCGACUUAUAUUCUGUAGCAAGGUUAACCGAAUAGGGGAGCCGAAGGGAAACCGAGUCUUAACUGGGCGUUAAGUUGCAGGGUAUAGACCCGAAACCCGGUGAUCUAGCCAUGGGCAGGUUGAAGGUUGGGUAACACUAACUGGAGGACCGAACCGACUAAUGUUGAAAAAUUAGCGGAUGACUUGUGGCUGGGGGUGAAAGGCCAAUCAAACCGGGAGAUAGCUGGUUCUCCCCGAAAGCUAUUUAGGUAGCGCCUCGUGAAUUCAUCUCCGGGGGUAGAGCACUGUUUCGGCAAGGGGGUCAUCCCGACUUACCAACCCGAUGCAAACUGCGAAUACCGGAGAAUGUUAUCACGGGAGACACACGGCGGGUGCUAACGUCCGUCGUGAAGAGGGAAACAACCCAGACCGCCAGCUAAGGUCCCAAAGUCAUGGUUAAGUGGGAAACGAUGUGGGAAGGCCCAGACAGCCAGGAUGUUGGCUUAGAAGCAGCCAUCAUUUAAAGAAAGCGUAAUAGCUCACUGGUCGAGUCGGCCUGCGCGGAAGAUGUAACGGGGCUAAACCAUGCACCGAAGCUGCGGCAGCGACGCUUAUGCGUUGUUGGGUAGGGGAGCGUUCUGUAAGCCUGUGAAGGUGUGCUGUGAGGCAUGCUGGAGGUAUCAGAAGUGCGAAUGCUGACAUAAGUAACGAUAAAGCGGGUGAAAAGCCCGCUCGCCGGAAGACCAAGGGUUCCUGUCCAACGUUAAUCGGGGCAGGGUGAGUCGACCCCUAAGGCGAGGCCGAAAGGCGUAGUCGAUGGGAAACAGGUUAAUAUUCCUGUACUUGGUGUUACUGCGAAGGGGGGACGGAGAAGGCUAUGUUGGCCGGGCGACGGUUGUCCCGGUUUAAGCGUGUAGGCUGGUUUUCCAGGCAAAUCCGGAAAAUCAAGGCUGAGGCGUGAUGACGAGGCACUACGGUGCUGAAGCAACAAAUGCCCUGCUUCCAGGAAAAGCCUCUAAGCAUCAGGUAACAUCAAAUCGUACCCCAAACCGACACAGGUGGUCAGGUAGAGAAUACCAAGGCGCUUGAGAGAACUCGGGUGAAGGAACUAGGCAAAAUGGUGCCGUAACUUCGGGAGAAGGCACGCUGAUAUGUAGGUGAAGCGACUUGCUCGUGGAGCUGAAAUCAGUCGAAGAUACCAGCUGGCUGCAACUGUUUAUUAAAAACACAGCACUGUGCAAACACGAAAGUGGACGUAUACGGUGUGACGCCUGCCCGGUGCCGGAAGGUUAAUUGAUGGGGUCAGCGCAAGCGAAGCUCUUGAUCGAAGCCCCGGUAAACGGCGGCCGUAACUAUAACGGUCCUAAGGUAGCGAAAUUCCUUGUCGGGUAAGUUCCGACCUGCACGAAUGGCGUAAUGAUGGCCAGGCUGUCUCCACCCGAGACUCAGUGAAAUUGAACUCGCUGUGAAGAUGCAGUGUACCCGCGGCAAGACGGAAAGACCCCGUGAACCUUUACUAUAGCUUGACACUGAACAUUGAGCCUUGAUGUGUAGGAUAGGUGGGAGGCUUAGAAGUGUGGACGCCAGUCUGCAUGGAGCCGACCUUGAAAUACCACCCUUUAAUGUUUGAUGUUCUAACGUUGACCCGUAAUCCGGGUUGCGGACAGUGUCUGGUGGGUAGUUUGACUGGGGCGGUCUCCUCCUAAAGAGUAACGGAGGAGCACGAAGGUUGGCUAAUCCUGGUCGGACAUCAGGAGGUUAGUGCAAUGGCAUAAGCCAGCUUGACUGCGAGCGUGACGGCGCGAGCAGGUGCGAAAGCAGGUCAUAGUGAUCCGGUGGUUCUGAAUGGAAGGGCCAUCGCUCAACGGAUAAAAGGUACUCCGGGGAUAACAGGCUGAUACCGCCCAAGAGUUCAUAUCGACGGCGGUGUUUGGCACCUCGAUGUCGGCUCAUCACAUCCUGGGGCUGAAGUAGGUCCCAAGGGUAUGGCUGUUCGCCAUUUAAAGUGGUACGCGAGCUGGGUUUAGAACGUCGUGAGACAGUUCGGUCCCUAUCUGCCGUGGGCGCUGGAGAACUGAGGGGGGCUGCUCCUAGUACGAGAGGACCGGAGUGGACGCAUCACUGGUGUUCGGGUUGUCAUGCCAAUGGCACUGCCCGGUAGCUAAAUGCGGAAGAGAUAAGUGCUGAAAGCAUCUAAGCACGAAACUUGCCCCGAGAUGAGUUCUCCCUGACUCCUUGAGAGUCCUGAAGGAACGUUG
RNAcentral lists this ribosomal RNA (2818 nucleotides) under Escherichia coli. RNAcentral's name for it is "partial 23S ribosomal RNA". It matches the Rfam family "Bacterial large subunit ribosomal RNA". Lineage: Bacteria; Pseudomonadati; Pseudomonadota; Gammaproteobacteria; Enterobacterales; Enterobacteriaceae. The record is from RNAcentral.